RNAcentral lists this transfer RNA (73 nucleotides) under Loxodonta africana (African savanna elephant). It matches the Rfam family "tRNA". From Rfam's summary of the family: Transfer RNA (tRNA) molecules are approximately 80 nucleotides in length. Their secondary structure includes four short double-helical elements and three loops (D, anti-codon, and T loops). Lineage: Eukaryota; Metazoa; Chordata; Mammalia; Proboscidea; Elephantidae. The record is from Rfam by way of RNAcentral.
CCCUUCGUGGCUCAAAUCAUUAAGCAUUCAGCUACUAACUGAAAGGUUGGUGGUUCGAGUCCAUUCAGGGGCA